This is a long non-coding RNA of Lycium barbarum (goji berry), 2763 nucleotides long. RefSeq lists it as uncharacterized. The record is from RefSeq and is a predicted model, not a curated record. The transcript has 2 exons. Lineage: Eukaryota; Viridiplantae; Streptophyta; Magnoliopsida; Solanales; Solanaceae.
CACGACGUUAAAUGCGGCGCUUUAUGGGAGACAACCCAUGUUUUCUUCAUUUAGUUUAAUUUUGCAAUUUUAAUUUUUAGGUAAGUUUUUAUUUUAUUUUUUUAUCAUUCUACCAAGUUUCAUAAUUUUUGGGAAUUAAUUUGAACAGGAUUUAGAAUGUUUAAGUGGCUGCACAGUUAAAAAAAAAAUGCACAAAAGCUGCUUUAGGUUGAUAAGUGGACUGUUUCAUAAUGCAAAAAAAAAAAAAAAAAAAAAAAAACCUAUAGUGGGCAGUUGCCAACAAUGCAGCGAGCCAGGUAAGUAGUGUAGAAUUCUGAGUUUUAAAGGAAACACCUCUUGCCUUUUCUUUCAGUUCCUCUUAAACGCAAGAGGCUUUUGUUUUCUCCACUCAACGCCCUUCCCUUGUGAUGACACCAUGUCCAGUUGGUUCCUUCACCCAUUGACGAAAUUCAGCUUUCACAUUUGGGGAAUGGGAGUGUUAUCUGCUGAAGCUAAAGACCUAAAUAUGGGAAAGAAGUCACCUCCUUUGGCCAAAUAGAAUGGAGUACAGUUAAUGCCAACAGGCAAUUUUUUUUUGCAAAAGGCUAGGCUUGCUUCACUGAAGAAGGGCAAGGCAAAGCACAUGUCAAGGAUGCAUGAUUCUUCGAAGAUACCAUCUUUUUCAGGGAGUCCCUCUAACUUGAGCUUUAUUUUAUUUAAUUGCGUUGAGGACAAUGCAAUAUUUUUAGUUGGGGGUGAGACUUCAUUUUGAUGGAUAUUUGGUGUUGGGAUGUGAUUUUUGCUCCUUGGCCAAUUUUGGCUUGCUUGGUACCAACACAUUUAAACCUUGACAUGUGAAUUCUUGAUUUGAAAAAGAAAAAUGAUUGAAUAAGGAUUCUUGUUGUGACUUUUAGAUUCAAUAUUUGGCUCUUUUGUUCACUAAAUGGUCUCUUUAGACUAUAAGUGACUUUCUUUGAGUUCAUUUGUUUCAAUUGGGUUUCGGAUAUAUAUUCUACUUGAAUUUUCAUGUGCCAUGUGUGGUGAGGUUUUUGUGAGUUAUUUUGCAUUACUUGUGGUCAAGAACUUGCCCGGAAUGUGUUUCAAGGCAAAAUUCUACGUUACACUUGGUUUGAAAAAUGAUGUUAGGCCUUCUUUGGAUCGUUUUUGCCUUAAAUUUCCUACCCUUGCAUAUUUUCCCUAGUCAAACCCUUUUGAGUCUUUAACCUUCUCUUUGGCAACCAUGUUACAAGCUUUAACCUUUUGUUCUUUAUUGAUCUAUCUUUUGGCAUCUCACCUCCCUAAGUGCUUUGAAAGUGUAAACAUAGGCUAAAAUCCUAAGCUUGGGGGUGACGGUUGGAAAAGUUGUGAUGUGGAAUUUGCUUAGAGGUUAAAGGGUAAAAACCAAAAAAAAAAAAAAUAGUGGAACCCUCCUUGGUUUUUGAAGGAAAAAAAAAAAGGGUAAGAAAGAUGAAAAAGGGAAGGAAUAAUAAGAGUUGUGAAUAAAGCGGAGACUAGUUGGUGAAAUGAAAAAUGAAAAAUGAAGAAAGGGGUGGAAAAGUUUCAAAGGAAGUGUGCUUCGAAUGUUGAAAAUUGUAGUGCUUAGGGAGGUUUUGAGUCACUUUUACCCAAAUUAUGCCCUACCUUAACCAAAAGCCUACAUUACAACCCUUUAAGUCCUAAUUGAUUUUGAACCAAGUGUGUCUAUGUUAGUAGAGAAAUACAUGGAGGCAAGCUUAUGGUACUAGUGUGCAUUUGAACAUCUUUGAGAGAGAGAGAGAGAAGAGUUAAUUCUUUCUAUUUGAUAUCCCAUUUGUGUUUUGAAUUAUAUUUUCUAAGCGUGGGAUUCUCUUUUGAGUGUGAGGGCAUAUGAGAAUUUAAGUUGUGAAUUUGUUCCAUUUUCCAAUUGAGAGGAAUGAACAAAAGAAAGUUAUUUUGUGAUAAUGAGGCAAAUUUUGAAGCUUUAGUGUCUUGACUUGAUUACUACUUUGAUUAACUUGGUGUUUGAGCACUUGAAAUGAAACUGAAGUUUUUGAGAAGAAGUUAGUGAUUCAUAUGUUUUGGAUUAAUUGGUGGUACUAAUCAAAGUCUUGUUUGUGCUUAAAGUAGACUUUUUGACUUGGUAUGAUGUUGGUGCACUAUUGAGUCGAUUCCUUAGAAGGAGAUUGUACGUUUUGAAUUGCUUGAGGACAAGCAAUAGUUUAAGUUUGGGGUUUGAUAAGUUGGUAUUUUACCAACCUAUCUCUUCUUUAAUCUUAUAUUUUUGCUAUGUAUGAUUAAGAAAAUAGUGCAUUUAAUAUCAUUUACAUCUAUUUUACAGAUUUUGUGUGAUUUAGAAGUGAUCGGAAGAAACCAAGUGAAAAUAAAGUCAAAAAGAGGUCAAAUUGGACAGAUUUGCAAAACUGUCAAAACUGGACAGUUUUGCAAAAAGGGGACAGAUUUGCAAAAACAGGCAGAACUACAAAAACUGAAAUCUGGGGCAUAUUUUGUCAUUUUUUGGACUUGGAAAAAUUAGGCAACUAUAAAAGCAAGACUUGGUGAAAUUAUUGAUCAUCUUUGGCAUUUCAACACAAGUCUUGGAGAGAUUUGGAGGCACACAAUGAGAAAUUCUUUACCCAUUUCUUCAUCUCUUGCUAUUUAUUGAAUAUUUAUGUGUGUAGUAUUUCAUUUCAAUACUUGAACCUUGUUUAUGGAAGUAUACAUUGUUUAAGUUUGGAUUGAAUCUCUUGUUUUGCUUAUGUGUUGAAUGAUUUUAUAAUUAAUAGAAAUGAGUUAAUGUUGUUUUAA